RNAcentral lists this long non-coding RNA (211 nucleotides) under Homo sapiens (human). RNAcentral's name for it is "HSALNT0330889". Lineage: Eukaryota; Metazoa; Chordata; Mammalia; Primates; Hominidae. The record is from RNAcentral.
ACCACAUAGGCACUUACCCUAGGGUGAUCUGUUUACUGGGAAGAGAGGGGACAGCCAGCCCUGUUUUGGCUUUUCAAGAAAUAGGAAAAUGCCAAAGAAACGUCAGUCUCCCAUCCAUGGCUGAUUCCCCAUUCCUCCUGCCUUCCGGCAUUAGGGGACCACCCCCGUGGUCUGCCCUCUAAGGAGAGUGCUGAGUUGGCUCUGAGGCAGC